This 474-nucleotide ribosomal RNA is filed under the name Triticum aestivum (bread wheat). RNAcentral describes it as "partial small subunit ribosomal RNA". Lineage: Eukaryota; Viridiplantae; Streptophyta; Magnoliopsida; Poales; Poaceae. The record is from RNAcentral.
AUGAGGCGGUUUCAGACGUGGAGCUCGCCGGAUCCGAUCGUGGUGAGGGUCGUCGAGGCAGGGAACAAAGCGGAUGCGGUGGGUCUUGGCGGUGGAGAGGUUCCAGAGGCUCCCCGGAGGCUCCAUGGCUUGGCGGCGGCGGCCUUUGGGUUCCUGCCUAGAGAAAAGAGAGAGAGGAGACGAGGACGAAGGUCAGAGAAGGGGAGAAACGAGAAGAAGAGGAUGACAAGGAGAAGAAACGGGCGGCCUGGCCUGGUGGAUGAGGGCGACGCCCUGGUGGUUGAGGUCGCCGGCGGCAACGAGGCUGACGGUGGCCACGAGGGCGCGGUUAAGGAGAAGCUCGGGAAGGCUCCUCUCCUCCUGGAACGAGAGGAGGCAGGGGCUCCAAGAGUGCGAGGCCCUCACUUGGGAGGAGCUGGAGGCAUGGCGAUCGAGCACUGCUCGCAAGGUGGAUCGAGAGGAGGUGGUGGUUGA